UACAGAGGUCUCAAGCGUUGUUCGGAAUUACUGGGCGUAAAGCGCGUGCAGGUGGUUUUUUAAGUUUCGUGUGAAAUCCCAUGGCUUAACCAUGGAACGGCACGGAAAACUGGAAGGCUUGAGUACGGGAGAAGAGGGCGGAAUUCCCAGUGUAGAGGUGAAAUUCGUAGAUAUUGGGAGGAACACCGGUGGCGAAAGCGGCUCUCUAGACCGAUACUGACGCUCAUACGCGAGAGCGUGGGUAGCAAACAGG
RNAcentral lists this ribosomal RNA (253 nucleotides) under uncultured bacterium. Its description in RNAcentral is "partial 16S ribosomal RNA". It matches the Rfam family "Bacterial small subunit ribosomal RNA", at positions 524 to 776 of the family's 1533-position model. The record is from RNAcentral.